CACGUAGGGUGCGAGCGUUGUCCGGAAUUAUUGGGCGUAAAGAGCUCGUAGGCGGUGUGUCGCGUCGGCCGUGAAAACCUGCAGCUUAACUGUGGGCUUGCGGUCGAUACGGGCAUCACUGGAGUUCGGCAGGGGAGACUGGAAUUCCUGGUGUAGCGGUGAAAUGCGCAGAGAUCGGGAGGAACACCCGUAGCGAAGGCGGCACUCUGGGCCGGUACUGACGCUCAGGCACGAAAGCGUGGGGAGCAAACAGG
Molecule: ribosomal RNA, 254 nt
Filed under: uncultured bacterium
Lineage: Bacteria
Description: partial 16S ribosomal RNA
Rfam family: Bacterial small subunit ribosomal RNA
Source: RNAcentral